RNAcentral lists this unclassified non-coding RNA (333 nucleotides) under Hevea brasiliensis (rubber tree). The record is from RNAcentral. Lineage: Eukaryota; Viridiplantae; Streptophyta; Magnoliopsida; Malpighiales; Euphorbiaceae.
AUCUUCAAGAAUUUCACAAAUUAACUUCCAGAUGUGUGCCCGUUUAAGAGAAGCCUCCUCAGGUAGAAACCAAUUCCUAUUAAGAAAGUUUGAGAAUUCUGUUAUCUUGAAAGGGCUGAAGUUAAUAGGAACUUCUUCAAGAAACAGUUCCACAUAAUGGAGCAAGAAGAGGCCACAGUCAAAUGAAUUUUCUUGCUGCGGCAACUCAAGUGGUACAAACUGUAAACGUGAGAACUUUGAAGACACAUCAUCCAGAGUGUCACCAUGCCUCUCUUUCCACUCUUCACAAAGGUAACUUUGAAUAAGAUUCUUGAGGCCCCUGUGACUUCCUCU